Transfer RNA from Camelus ferus (Wild Bactrian camel), 72 nucleotides. It matches the Rfam family "tRNA". Rfam says of the family: Transfer RNA (tRNA) molecules are approximately 80 nucleotides in length. Their secondary structure includes four short double-helical elements and three loops (D, anti-codon, and T loops). The record is from Rfam. Lineage: Eukaryota; Metazoa; Chordata; Mammalia; Artiodactyla; Camelidae.
GAGAGUAUAGCUCAGUGGUAGAGUGCGUGCUUAGCAAGCCCGAGGUCCUGGGUUCAAUCCCCGGUACUUCUA